RNAcentral lists this ribosomal RNA (452 nucleotides) under uncultured organism. Its description in RNAcentral is "partial 16S ribosomal RNA". It matches the Rfam family "Bacterial small subunit ribosomal RNA", at positions 332 to 800 of the family's 1533-position model. The record is from RNAcentral.
UACACUCCUGCGGGAGGCAGCAGUGGGGAAUAUUGGACAAUGGGCGCAAGCCUGAUCCAGCCAUGCCGCGUGAGUGAUGAAGGCCCUAGGGUUGUAAAGCUCUUUCACCGGUGAAGAUAAUGACGGUAACCGGAGAAGAAGCCCCGGCUAACUUCGUGCCAGCAGCCGCGGUAAUACGAAGGGGGCUAGCGUUGUUCGGAUUUACUGGGCGUAAAGCGCACGUAGGCGGACUAUUAAGUCAGGGGUGAAAUCCCGGGGCUCAACCCCGGAACUGCCUUUGAUACUGGUAGUCUUGAGUUCGAGAGAGGUGAGUGGAAUUCCGAGUGUAGAGGUGAAAUUCGUAGAUAUUCGGAGGAACACCAGUGGCGAAGGCGGCUCACUGGCUCGAUACCGACGCUGAGGUGCGAAAGCGUGGGGAGCAAACAGGAUUAGAAACCCUAGUAGUCCCAUGA